GCUGGGAGGCAGGGGCUGCUCCUGGCCACAGAGGAAGGCUGCUCCCUUUUGGCUUCCUCUCUUACAGCUCGAAACACACAGAGCAAUGGGACCAGACCAUGGCACAAUCCUGGCCUCACUGCCCUCGACCACUCAGCUGGAAGGAAGAGCUGCCAACGCUCUACAGGACAGGUAAGAUCACCCCAACCCACACCCUACCACGGUCUCAUAGCAAGCAGGACAGUGACACGCUCAGGCCAGGAUGGGAGUGACCGCUCCGUCAGGACGACGGGACACGGAGAGCCUCGCCAGACACACACAGCCAUGGGACCAGACCACAGCACAAUCCUGGCCUCGCUGCCCUCGACCACUCAGCUGGAAGGAAGAGCUGCCAACGCUCUACAGGACAGGACAGGAGUGACCGCUCCAUCAGGAUGACUGGACACGGACGGACGUGCCAGAUACACACAGCGAUGGGACCAGACGCUCCUGGCCUCUCUCCCCUUGAGAACUCAGAUGGCAGGAAAAGCUUCCAACGCUGUACAGGACAGAU
Molecule: long non-coding RNA, 532 nt
Organism: Anser cygnoides (Swan goose)
Lineage: Eukaryota; Metazoa; Chordata; Aves; Anseriformes; Anatidae
Source: Ensembl